This 1315-nucleotide ribosomal RNA is filed under the name Euploea midamus. Its description in RNAcentral is "16S ribosomal RNA". The record is from RNAcentral. Lineage: Eukaryota; Metazoa; Arthropoda; Insecta; Lepidoptera; Nymphalidae.
AAAUUCUUAAUAAUAAAAUUAUUUUAUUAAAAUUAUUUUGAAUAUUUGAUCCUUUCGUACUAAAAUAUUCUAAUUCUAAAGAUAGAAACCCACCUGGCUCACCCCGGUUUGAACUCAGAUCAUGUAAGAUUUUAAUGAUUGAACAGAUCAAAAUUUUAAACUUUUGCAUUUAAAUUUUAUCUUAAUCCAACAUCGAGGUCGCAAUCUCUUUUUUUUAUUUGUACUAAAAAAAAAAAUUACGCUGUUAUCCCUAAGGUAAUUUUUUCUUUUAAUCAUUAUUAAUGGAUCAAUUUUUCACUUAUUAAUGUUUAUUUUUAAAAAAAGUUAUUUUAAUUUUUUUAUCACCCCAAUAUAAUAAUUAAAUUAUUUUUAAUUAUAAAUUAUAUAAAAAAUCUUAAAUAAUUUAAUUAUAAAACUCUAUAGGGUCUUCUCGUCUUUUAAAUUUAUUUUAGCUUUUUUACUAAAAAAUUAAAUUCUAUUUUUAAAUAAAAGACAGUUUAUAUUUCAUUAAAUCUUUCAUACAAGUCUUCAAUUAAAAGACUAAUGAUUAUGCUACCUUUGUACAGUCAAUAUACUGCAGCCCUUUAAUUUUCAUCAGUGGGCAAAUUAAACUUUAAAUUAUUUUCAAAAAGACAUGUUUUUGAUAAACAAGUGAAUAUAAAUUUUUGCCGAAUUCCUUUUUUUAAAAUUAUAAUUUUUUUUUAUUAAAUUAUAUAUUAUUUUAUACUAAUUUUAUCAUUAUUUCUAAUUUUAUUUUAUUUAAAAAUUUAUUUUUUUAAAAAAUUAACUAUUAAAUUAUAUCUUAACUUUAAAUUUAAUUUUUGAUAAAAAAUUAUAAUUUAUUAACAAUAUAAAUACUAAAAUUUUUAUUUAAAUUGGAAUAAUUUCAUAAAAAUUUAUUUUAGUACUUACUACUACAACUUUAAAACAUUUUUUAUUAAAAUAUUUUCAAAUAAAAAAUCUUAAUUUUAAUAUUCAAAAUUAAAUUUUUUUCUAAAAAAACUAGAUAUAGUUAAAAAUGAUUAAAAUUUAAUUUCAAAUUAAUUAUUUAAAAAACUUAUCUACAUUGAACUUUUUUAAAUAAUUUUAUCUUUCAAAUUCAAAGUAAUUAGUUUCAUAGAAUAUAUUAUUAAUAAAGUCUUUCACUCAACAUUUAUUUGUAUACUACUAUUAUAAUAAUAUCAUUUUCAAAUAUCCUAUAUUUCUUAUUCAUCAUUAAUAAUAAUUCUUUCUAUAAAAAAAUUUAUAAAAAACUCAAACCCCAUUUUUAUUAUAAAAAUUAUUUUAUUAGUUUUCAAUUUUUAAUUUAUACCCU